GGCGAAAUGCGACCUGCUACACAUGCAGUCGAACGAUGAACCACUUCGGUGGGGAUUAGUGGCGAACGGGUGAGUAACACGUGGGCAAUCUGCCCUUCACUCUGGGACAAGCCCUGGAAACGGGGUCUAAUACCGGAUACUGACCCUCGCAGGCAUCUGCGAGGUUCGAAAGCUCCGGCGGUGAAGGAUGAGCCCGCGGCCUAUCAGCUUGUUGGUGAGGUAAUGGCUCACCAAGGCGACGACGGGUAGCCGGCCUGAGAGGGCGACCGGCCACACUGGGACUGAGACACGGCCCAGACUCCUACGGGAGGCAGCAGUGGGGAAUAUUGCACAAUGGGCGAAAGCCUGAUGCAGCGACGCCGCGUGAGGGAUGACGGCCUUCGGGUUGUAAACCUCUUUCAGCAGGGAAGAAGCGAAAGUGACGGUACCUGCAGAAGAAGCGCCGGCUAACUACGUGCCAGCAGCCGCGGUAAUACGUAGGGCGCAAGCGUUGUCCGGAAUUAUUGGGCGUAAAGAGCUCGUAGGCGGCUUGUCACGUCGGUUGUGAAAGCCCGGGGCUUAACCCCGGGUCUGCAGUCGAUACGGGCAGGCUAAACUUCGGUAGGGGAGAUCCGAAUUCCUGGUGUAACGGUGAAAUGCGCAGAUAUCAAGAGGAACAACGGUUGGCCAAAGCUGAUCUCUGGGCGCUAUACUGCAUGCUAC
RNAcentral lists this ribosomal RNA (702 nucleotides) under Streptomyces sp. RNAcentral's name for it is "bacterial SSU rRNA". It matches the Rfam family "Bacterial small subunit ribosomal RNA", at positions 38 to 749 of the family's 1533-position model. Lineage: Bacteria; Bacillati; Actinomycetota; Actinomycetes; Kitasatosporales; Streptomycetaceae. The record is from RNAcentral.